GGAAGCCUGAUCUGCACAGAGUGGCUGUGCAAUGGGGUCCAAACCCUUCCAGUUCUUCACCCUUUGCCUAAUCUUGGAGUUCAGGCCACUUCCUAAAUGCCUCCUCCACUGACUUCUAUGGCCACAAUAGCUCUGGAUUAAUCCUCAGAAAUUUGGUAAAUCAACAGAAAAAAUGAGAUCAAAGAGACAAGAUAUUCCGACAUUGUCUUCAACAGUUUAAACUUCACCCCUAGUCUUUUAACAAAAAAAAAAUAGUGAGCCUGGAGCUUGGCUAAACGAUCUGCAGUCAACAGAAGUGUCCCUUCAAUUUCUGCACAAAGACUGUCUCCAACACAAGAACUCACAAUGGGAAAAGAAACCACCCCUGACUUGUCACUUUCCUCCCUCUGAAAGCAUGGAGGGAAUGGGCAGUUAUAAGAGGGAAAUAGCAGCUUGCUGGGUCCCUUGAAAACUAAAUCAAGCACCAGAACUGAUGCACAGAAAAAAGCAAUUUAAUCCUAGCAAAAGAACUGCUGCAGAUUUCUUUCAUUGUUGAGCAGUGAGUGAGACGAGCAGCAGACUGUACCCAAAACUGGAAGCUGUCACCACUGAUUUCCUGCGCUCCUAGGGUAGCACCAUCAUGGCCACUGUGAAAUUGCAUGGUAACAACCUGACCCCUUUCUGUCAAACAGAAAAUUUAGUUGGUGAACUGUUCUGAAGCCCGCAGCCAAAAGGAAUUUUUCAGUGCCUCCCUGCACUCCUACCAUUCAUUUCUGACUUACCCAGACAACUCUUAGCAUACUCAAGGGAGAAGGUUAGGAGACAACUACGUAAUGCAAGAACAUAAAGUUAUAGACUUUCUGUGACAAUAAAGCUAGUAUAAUAAAGAAUAUUAAAGCA
Molecule: long non-coding RNA, 879 nt
Filed under: Phasianus colchicus (ring-necked pheasant)
Lineage: Eukaryota; Metazoa; Chordata; Aves; Galliformes; Phasianidae
Description: lncRNA (ENSPCLG00000010924.1)
Source: RNAcentral